RNAcentral lists this unclassified non-coding RNA (209 nucleotides) under plant metagenome. RNAcentral's name for it is "partial contains small subunit ribosomal RNA, internal transcribed spacer 1, and 5.8S ribosomal RNA". The record is from RNAcentral.
UCUCCGCUGGUGAACCAGCGGAGGGAUCAUUACUGGAAUCGCAAGAUCCCACAACCCUGUGAACCUACCGAAACGUUGCCUCGGCGGGUUCCCGGCCUCUGCGCCGGGCGCUGCGCCCGCCGGCGGCCCCCUACUCUGUCUCUGCAGCGUGGCAUCUCAGAGUCCCAGAAAACAAGUCAAAACUUUCAACAACGGAUCUCUUGGCUCUA